Molecule: ribosomal RNA, 456 nt
Filed under: uncultured bacterium
Lineage: Bacteria
Description: bacterial SSU rRNA
Rfam family: Bacterial small subunit ribosomal RNA
Source: RNAcentral
GACGACGCUGGGCGGCGUGCUUAACACAUGCAAGUCGAACGGGAGUAUUGAAGAAGCUUGCUUUAGAGAUACUUUAGUGGCGGACGGGUGAGUAACGCGUGAGGAGCUGUCCUAUGCAGGGGGACAACAGCUGGAAACGGCUGCUAAUACCCCAUAAGCCGAGAGGUAAAAGGAUCAAUCCGGCAGAGGAGGUACUCGCGUCCUAUCAGCUAGUAGGUGAGGUAACGGCUCACCUAGGCGAAGACGGGUAGCCGGCCUGAGAGGGCGAACGGCCACACUGGAACUGAGAUACGGUCCAGACUCCUACGGGAGGCAGCAGUGGGGAAUAUUGGGCAAUGGGGGAAACCCUGACCCAGCGACGCCGCGUGGGUGAAGAAAUCCUUCGGGAUGUAAAGCCCUGUUGUAUGGGAAGAGCGGAAGACGGUACCAUACGAGGAAGCCCCGGCAAACUACGUG